CAUUUUACCAUGCAAAGAAUUAACUAAUUUUUUUCUAAUAAAAAAAAUGUAGACACAAUAGGUUUUCAAAAAAAAAAAAAAAAGUGAAUGUUACCUUGGUCAAGUGCACUUAACCCAUUAGCUCCUACUGCAGUUCAGAACCUUUUUACAUUAUAUGCAUAACACGGUCUGGAAAAUUUUUUAAACUUUCUUAUAAAAAGAGCUCAUCAUGUCUCCGUUUAAAGCAAGAAAGAAAGCGUGGUAACUUUUUUUUUUUUAGUGAAUACUGGAUGUGUAUUGAAUUUUUAAUAUUUUUUAAAGAAAUUUUAGAACUAACAUACCCGUGGACCCAGUGUAUAAGCCUCUGUG
Non-coding RNA from Biomphalaria pfeifferi, 348 nucleotides. The record is from the annotation of a GenBank genome assembly. NCBI's taxonomy places the organism in Eukaryota, Metazoa, Mollusca, Gastropoda, Planorbidae.